This 29-nucleotide small RNA is filed under the name Bombyx mori (domestic silkworm). Its description in RNAcentral is "ovarian small RNA-13654". Lineage: Eukaryota; Metazoa; Arthropoda; Insecta; Lepidoptera; Bombycidae. The record is from RNAcentral.
CCCCAGCCCAGGAUGCGCUGUGCGAUGGA